GGAAUUUUGGACAAUGGGCGAAAGCCUGAUCCAGCCAUUCCGCGUGAGUGAAGAAGGCCUUCGGGUUGUAAAGCUCUUUCGCAAGGGAAGAAAGAUUACUCUCUAACAUAGAGUGAUUAUGACGGUACCUUGAUAAGAAGCACCGGCUAACUACGUGCCAGCAGCCGCGGUAAUACGUAGGGUGCGAGCGUUAAUCGGAAUUACUGGGCGUAAAGCGUGCGCAGGCUGUUUUGUAAGUCAGAUGUGAAAUCCCUGAGCUCAACUUAGGAACUGCGUUUGAAACUACAAGACUAGAAUAUGUCAGAGGGGGGUAGAAUUCCACGUGUAGCAGUGAAAUGCGUAGAGAUGUGGAGGAAUACCAAUGGCGAAGGCAGCCCCCUGGGAUAAUAUUGACGCUCAUGCACGAAAGCGUGGGGAGCAAACAGGAUUAGAUACCCUUG
RNAcentral lists this ribosomal RNA (440 nucleotides) under uncultured Methylotenera sp. Its description in RNAcentral is "bacterial SSU rRNA". It matches the Rfam family "Bacterial small subunit ribosomal RNA", at positions 358 to 790 of the family's 1533-position model. The record is from RNAcentral. Lineage: Bacteria; Pseudomonadati; Pseudomonadota; Betaproteobacteria; Nitrosomonadales; Methylophilaceae.